UACGAAGGGUGCAAGCGUUAAUCGGAAUUACUGGGCGUAAAGCGUGCGUAGGCGGUACGUUAAGUCUGCCGUGAAAGCCCUGGGCUCAACCUGGGAACGGCGGCGGAUACUGGCGUGCUGGAGUGCGGUAGAGGAGGGUGGAAUUCCCGGUGUAGCGGUGAAAUGCGUAGAGAUCGGGAGGAACAUCAGUGGCGAAGGCGGCCCUCUGGACCAGCACUGACGCUGAGGCACGAAAGCGUGGGGAGCAAACAGGGAUUAGAUACCCUGGUAGUCCACGCCCUAAACGAUGCGAACUGGAUGUUGGGCACAUUACGGUGCUCAGUGUCGAAGCUAACGCGUUAAGUUCGCCGCCUGGGGAGUACGGUCGCAAGACUGAAACUC
RNAcentral lists this ribosomal RNA (381 nucleotides) under uncultured bacterium. RNAcentral's name for it is "bacterial SSU rRNA". It matches the Rfam family "Bacterial small subunit ribosomal RNA", at positions 524 to 902 of the family's 1533-position model. The record is from RNAcentral.